This 658-nucleotide ribosomal RNA is filed under the name uncultured bacterium. Its description in RNAcentral is "bacterial SSU rRNA". It matches the Rfam family "Bacterial small subunit ribosomal RNA", at positions 9 to 669 of the family's 1533-position model. The record is from RNAcentral.
GAGUUUGAUCAUGGCUCAGGAUGAACGCUAGCGGCAGGCUUAACACAUGCAAGUCGAGGGGUAUAGUUCUUCGGAAUUAGAGACCGGCGCACGGGUGCGUAACGCGUAUGCAAUCUGCCUUUCACAGAGGGAUAGCCCAGAGAAAUUUGGAUUAAUACCUCAUAGUAUAACGACUCUGCAUGGAGAUGUUAUUAAAGUCACAACGGUGAAAGAUGAGCAUGCGUCCCAUUAGCUAGUUGGUAAGGUAACGGCUUACCAAGGCUACGAUGGGUAGGGGUCCUGAGAGGGAGAUCCCCCACACUGGUACUGAGACACGGACCAGACUCCUACGGGAGGCAGCAGUGAGGAAUAUUGGACAAUGGGCGCAAGCCUGAUCCAGCCAUGCCGCGUGCAGGAUGACGGUCCUAUGGAUUGUAAACUGCUUUUGCACAGGAAGAAACAACGCUACGUGUAGCGUCUUGACGGUACUGUGAGAAUAAGGAUCGGCUAACUCCGUGCCAGCAGCCGCGGUAAUACGGAGGAUCCAGGCGUUAUCCGGAAUCAUUGGGUUUAAAGGGUCCGUAGGCGGUUUAGUAAGUCAGUGGUGAAAGCCCAUCGCUCAACGGUGGAACGGCCAUUGAUACUGCUAGACUUGAAUUAUUAGGAAGUACUAGAAUAU